This 536-nucleotide long non-coding RNA is filed under the name Cricetulus griseus (Chinese hamster). RNAcentral's name for it is "lncRNA (ENSCGRG00015033337.1)". Lineage: Eukaryota; Metazoa; Chordata; Mammalia; Rodentia; Cricetidae. The record is from RNAcentral.
CAGGUCGUGGAGGGCGGGGCCGGGCUGUAGGGGCCAGGCGCGCGCGGCGGCGCCACACCCUCAUUUCCCUCAUUUCCUCGCGCGCGCCGGAAGUGGCGGUGCUCCGCGGCGGCGCGCCGGGCCGGCCAGCGCAGGGCGCUGGCCAGGUGUGCAGUUCCCCAGGGCGGCGGCGCUGAGCGGCGGGCGCGAGAGGAUCUGAAAUACUACUUUUCAAAGGGCUCAUGGAAAAAUAGGCACCUGUGCUAGCAGAUCCUGAUUGCCGCUCUCCUACCAACUCACAGAAGAUACCAAAAAUAUCAAGAAAAGAAGGAUAUUUCUCAAAGCAGAAGUGCUGGCCUAUUUUAUGCCACUGUUUGGCCAACGUUCAAGUACUAUGAGUAUAGUUUUCUCCAGAAACACCUUAUCAAAAGGAUCCAUUUAGUGUUGUUCUUGGUACUCCACACAGUACUUGGCACACAGUAGGUACUCUCAAGCAUCUGUGGAAUAAAUGCUGCUUUCUGAUGAUCAAUUCCUUUGUUUCUAAAUACUUAACAUUU